UACAGAGGGUGCAAGCGUUAAUCGGAAUUACUGGGCGUAAAGGGCGUGUAGGUGGUUGCUUAAGUUAGAUGUGAAAGCCCUGGGCUCAACCUGGGAAUUGCAUCUAAAACUGGGUAGCUAGAGUAUGGUAGAGGGAAGUGGAAUUUCUAGUGUAGCGGUGAAAUGCGUAGAUAUUAGAAAGAACACCAGUGGCGAAGGCGGCUUCCUGGACCAAUACUGACACUGAGGCGCGAAAGCGUGGGGAGCGAAC
RNAcentral lists this ribosomal RNA (250 nucleotides) under uncultured bacterium. Its description in RNAcentral is "partial 16S ribosomal RNA". It matches the Rfam family "Bacterial small subunit ribosomal RNA", at positions 524 to 773 of the family's 1533-position model. The record is from RNAcentral.